RNAcentral lists this ribosomal RNA (301 nucleotides) under uncultured bacterium. RNAcentral describes it as "partial 16S ribosomal RNA". It matches the Rfam family "Bacterial small subunit ribosomal RNA", at positions 509 to 807 of the family's 1533-position model. The record is from RNAcentral.
CAGCCGCCGCGGUAAUACGUAGGGUGCGAGCGUUAAUCGGAAUUACUGGGCGUAAAGCGUGCGCAGGCGGUUUUGUAAGACAGAGGUGAAAUCCCCGGGCUCAACCUGGGAACUGCCUUUGUGACUGCAAGGCUAGAGUACGGCAGAGGGGGAUGGAAUUCCGCGUGUAGCAGUGAAAUGCGUAGAUAUGCGGAGGAACACCGAUGGCGAAGGCAAUCCCCUGGGCCUGUACUGACGCUCAUGCACGAAAGCGUGGGGAGCAAACAGGAUUAGAUACCCGCGUAGUCCCUGUCUCUUAUAC